Molecule: ribosomal RNA, 423 nt
Filed under: uncultured bacterium
Lineage: Bacteria
Description: bacterial SSU rRNA
Rfam family: Bacterial small subunit ribosomal RNA
Source: RNAcentral
AAGACCUUGCGCUUUUGGAGCGGCCGAUGCCUGAUUAGCUUGUUGGUAAGGUAAAAGCUUACCAAGGCUUCGAUCAGUAGCUGGUCUGAGAGGACGGCCAGCCACACUGGGACUGAGACACGGCCUAGACUCCUACGGGAGGCAGCAGUGGGGAAUUUUGGACAAUGGGGGCAACCCUGAUCCAGCCAUGCCGCGUGAGUGAAGAAGGCCUUCGGGUUGUAAAGCUCUUUCAGCCGGAACGAAACGGUUACGGUUAAUACCCGUGACUACUGACGGUACCGGAAGAAGAAGCACCGGCUAACUACGUGCCAGCAGCCGCGGUAAUACGUAGGGUGCGAGCGUUAAUCGGAAUUACUGGGCGUAAAGCGUGCGCAGGUGGUUUUGUAAGUCAGAUGUGAAAGCCCCGGGCUCAACCUGGGAACU